AUGAUAAUGUUUAGGUUAAUUUAAAUUGCUUAGAAAGUACUAUAUUUAUGUGAAUCAUGACAAUGUCGACAUGCGGAACAAAUUGGUACUAUGAUUCUACACAUUUGUUUGUUUCUACACUAAAUCAUUUUGUGAGUUUUGCUUGUGAUCUACUGCACUGUUAUAUAAUUCUGAAUUUCCAAUGAUAUAAAUGUGUAAUUUAGAUGUUCUUGUCGGUGACUUAGUGAAAAAUAAUGUGCAAUUUUAUUUGUUCUUUGAUUACUCUGUUCCUCUGUCUUUCGGUUAGGGAAUUUCUUUCCAAUUUUUUACAUUCUGUAACUAGCAUUCUUAGUGCUUUACUCGCGUUCGAUCAAAGUCCUCAAUCAGAGUUAUUUAGUGCAAAAGAUACAAUUAAGAUUGUUUUGUCAAUUUAUUAGAAAUUAGAAUUGGGGUUUUGUUUGUUGGGCAGCUUGGGCUUGUGGACUUGUUAACUAUAUAUAUGUUUUAAAUGCUUUUAACGAAGAUUCGUAUAUGAACACAACUUAUCAAACAACUGUGUUGGUACUUGAUUUUGUAUAAGAAUUGCAAGCAAAAAUAUCCAUUUGUUGGUACCUGGUUUAUCUUUUUUUUUUAGAUUAAAUUACAGUUUGGGUAAGUAUUAAGUUCCACUUAAAAUAAGUGGAUUACAUCAUGGUAUUGUUAACUUACAUUGCAAGCGGGCCAUUAGAAAAUCAUGCUAGUAAAAGUAUAAUUUUAGUAGGAUAUGCAGUAAUUAGUAUUUGGUUUCCGUUUAUCUCACUUUGAGUAGGCUCUGAAAUAUGGAAGAAGGGUAUAAAUUUAUUCUCAGAGUGGAACUUUUUAUAUAUAUUGACAAGAUUACCGACAAGAACAUACCAACUAAGUCUACCCUACAUACCCUAAAAAUAAUUAGAUAAUUUUCAUUCCUGUUCACAUACCACGUUUGAAACGUACCACGUGAAAACUUAAUAAUUGUGUCAUUAUUGCAUUAUGGAUUUGUAUGCAAUGUGUUCCUAAGUUAGUUUUGCUUACAUAUGAUAUGAUAAUGUUAAACUUGAGGUGAAUUUGGAAGAAUGAUUAGAAGUUUUAUAUUAAGACUUGUUAUUUAAGUUUGUUUCUCUUAUCUUAAUGUUAAGAAUUUUUCUUCUUUCUGCUGUUCUUCUUAAUUGGAUCUUUGUUUAGGAACAGCAUAGAAAAGCUGCCAAAUUAACAUUGUCGGUGUAUCAGUAUUGUUAGAGUGAAUAUGGUCCAUAUAACUAACAAGCCCUACACAACCACGAAAUAGUUUUUAAUGAAAUGACAAGUAAUCAAUGACUUUUAAUUUUGGUUAAUUUCUUCUUGAAAAGUUCUAUUACACAUGUGAGCAUACAUACAGUAUGGUAGAAUACAUGAAAAGUAUCACGAGGAUCUGCAAAUUGUAUUUUCUUUUCUAAUUUUAUUGCUCAUGAACAGAUGGUGAACGUGAGACAAAUACCAACCGCAACUGGAGAUCCUGCUUGAGUGUAGAAUAUCAGAUAAGUUGAAAAGGGAAUUUUAUAGGCCACACAUAUCAACUGGUUAAUGAACAGUAUUGAUGGUUAACAAUUAUGCAUACAAGGCUAUCAUGGCAGAAAUGAAAAUGCUAAGGUGGAUGUACUGAAAUACAAUGAUGUACUGAUUGCAGAGGAAUGCAUUUGUGGAGAAGUGCUAGUGGGGCCUUCUGAAGAGAAUUGGGGAUACUGGAGAUUGUAAUGGUUUUGGCACAUGUUCAUAGACCAGAAAAUUAACCAAAUACAAUGUUGAGCAUAGUCGAAAUGGCGAGAGAGACGUGCUAGACGGUCAAUUAUUUCAGGAUUGAGAGCUUUGUUGUGUUGGCUUGAGUACAUCAUCUAGAUUCACUCACAUGUAAUGCAUUGUUUUCAAUAAACACAUCAUGAGUAUUCUUCUGCCAAAACAAUGGCAUUUUUGAUGUAACAUUCAUAUUUUUUCCAACACCAUGGAGUUUGUCAUUGUGUUUUUUGAAAUUUGUAUCAGCAAAUAUUUUGUAGUAAUUGUUUGAUUCCUUUUUCACUAAAUGAAAAUAUAGAUGUCAGUUGAUCUACUCUACUAUCAUCAUUAGAAUCUGGACCAAACACAACUUUUUACUAUUGAUUUUCUAAGUAGAAAUGCUUUGAGCCUCUCACUCUCAGAGGCCACUCAUUGCAUUAACUACUUUAUUUCUAUAUCACGUUCAUGGGCAAGGCAAUGUGCUACUUGACCUCACUUUCUUGGGUUCAGAGAAUAUGCACUUUGACUUUGCACCAGAGAAGCAACAACCAUGGCAGCAAUGUUUCUUAACAAGGCAACAAUAUGCUAUCAAAGGGUAGAUGAGGAUGGGCCCAUUGCUGGUGUCUGUAAGGAUAUUGCCAAAUACUUCUUCAGCAAAAUCGUGUAUUUUGCUUUUCGGGAUAAGAAGAUUUAGCCAUGGAUGUGGAACUUCCCACAAGCCUUUGGACCUUAGUUUGACCUCAGACACAUGAACUCUAUCCAAGAAUUCAAUGUAUGGAACUUCUGAUAGGAAAAGUGUUGAUGGGAUAUAUCUCAAUUGAGACAGCAACUUCACUAUCUCCUGCAUGUAUUUGGCCAAUUCUAAGCAAAAUAGAGUUUUUCCAUCUGAUUCGAACUGGCUUGCUUGUACUGGAUCUUGAGGGUUAAAGGAUGACCUCCAGUUAUUUAACAGACCAGUUCUAUUUAUUAUGACAAAUCCUUCAAGGGAUAUUCUUGCCCUCGUUAUGAUACCAAACUGGCCGAGUCCUCCCAGGACGCUGUGGAAUAGGUCCCCAUUCUGCUUCUCUGAGCAAUUCACAAUCUCGCCUUUUCCUGCAUUCAGUUUCAUGUUUUGCGUAAGAAUUUAUGUUUCUCUCGGACUUCUUUGUGAUUUGCUUAAGCAAAUAUAUACACAUUUAUGAGUUUUAAUUUGCAGAAAUUGAAUAAUUUCCUGUGGCGGAAAUAGAUGGGCGGCGUGGUUUAUUAUCUCACAAUACUAUUAUGACCUCUUUCUAAGAGUAAAUAUGUGUUAUCAAUAAUUGAGUUGCUGGCAGUUUAUUUUAACUAACCUGUAACGACUUCGAGCUGAUGGACAUUACUUAUCUGGGGGCCAUGCUGAAAUGCCUGCCCACUAACACCGGCAUUGGACAAGGUGCCACCGACAGUUAGAUGUAGGUAGUCUGUCCAUGAUUUUGGUGUUAAUCCGUGUUUCAGGCUUUCACGCAAGAUAUUUAUCCAUAACUCGCCGCCAGAGGCAUCCACGUAUGGACGUUUUCCACCAUGAACUUGCAUUUUAGAGCCCUGGAGAGAUUCCAUGUGGACAACAACUCCUCGAUGCGCUUGUGCCUGACCCUGGAGUGAGUGACCAUGGCCUCUUGCUGCGAUGGUGAGCUCUGAAUGAGAACCCAUCUGCCAAAUAUGUCUGAUAGUUGCAGCAAUAUCGGAAACUGACCUUGGAUGAAGUACUGCAACGGGGAAAAACCGAAACCUAUUUCCAAAGUCUUUUGAUGCGUGGUGGACAUCAUCAAAGACGAAAUGGCCGUCCACAGAAAGUGUUUUCAACGAAGAAGGAUUGUUGGAAAAGCAAAAGUUUACUCUUAUGGUCAUGCAGCUGAGGAACAAGAUAAUGAACCAUCUUAUAAAUAACAUAUUAUGGAAGCUAACGGGUCGGCAUGUCAUGUUUCAGCUGGAAAAAUUAGGCGGAGGUAAGGGCUAAAGGUGUUUAAGGGAGAGCAAAAGAAAUGAAAGGUUGAGGAGAGAAUUUAAAGGGGAGAAGAUUUUGGGGGAGAAUAUGAGUGGACCAAUAUUUGUGAGAGAAUCUACUUGAGUUCUUUGAUUUAUAAGAGAAAGAGAAGCCAUGACUGAGUCACUCAUAUAAUACCAAGUUGAACCAGAAAGAAAGAUUUGAGAGAUCUUCUAAUUGACACUUUUGUUCAAACAGUUGCAACCACAAUAAGGACUUUUUUUUUACCAAAGACAAACAUGUCUAGAAAGUUUUUUUAUCCUCAGCCAUGUUAAGGAUACUGUCCUAUUUUUAGAAAGAAAAGUAGAUCGUAUCUCUCUGCCUCCUGUAUGUGUCAGAAUGCUGCCUGCUGCUGUGCCUGUGGGGUCUUUCAUGGGCCCUUACUUCACGUGAAUUUCAAUUUCCUGUGUGCUUUAUGGGGGUGAAGGGUUAUGAUUGGUUACGUUGGGACCCUCUCUUAUUUGUUGAAGUGGUCGACUGUAUAUUUUGUGGAAUAAAAAAAUAACUUUCACAUUUUUUCUCUAUUGCAGUACAAGUGAGCUUAUGUUUGGAGAGUAUGAUAGAAGUUUCAUUUUGGAGUUAUAGCGAUAGGCAUUGGCCAUGGGAUGACAGCUUGGAGGAAACACCGAAAACGAAAGACUUCUCCUCCUGCUAAAUGGACAAAUAUUUAUGAUUGUCAUGCUUAUAUGUUCCUUAACUGCAAUUAUUGGGUUUUUAACCUCUUGUUACAACUUGCACUGCGUUUUCAUAUUUGCAGCCUCAAAAGGAAGCAUCUCAGACUUCCCAUCGGAUUGGCGAAUGCAUAUUUCAAACCCUUAUAUGUCGGUGGACAGAAUUGAAAAGAGGAAACGGUGAAUAACCUUCUAAAGAGGAUUUUGUGGCUUGAUUUCUUAGAUCGUUCAAGAAUGUUUAGCGAUUGUUCGGGCUUUCGAAGUAAUCUCUUGUAGAUCUACGAUUUGAAAAGCUAUUGAUCUAUCUUCUUAGAAUUUCAUUGACAAGAUGAUCGGAAAUACAAACUUUCAAAGGAACAAGCGGGUCGUGUAUGGCCGGUCUAUCGGAGUUAAGGGCAUAUCCAAAUCCCGCUUCAACGGAACUCUUGCUUCUCGUUGCGUCAAAAAUUUAUGCGGAAUCUAUGGCUAGAUUUGCCGCUCCUUCGAUUUACUUAGCUUGUAUGAUAGUUUUGUUAGUUUUCUAGAUCUACAAAUUGAAAGAUCAUAUUUUAAUUUUGUGAUAUGACUUUCUUUAUGUAAUUUAAUCUUGAUUAAUGAAUUCUAA
Long non-coding RNA from Mercurialis annua (annual mercury), 5020 nucleotides. RefSeq lists it as uncharacterized. The transcript is spliced from 7 exons. NCBI's taxonomy places the organism in Eukaryota, Viridiplantae, Streptophyta, Magnoliopsida, Malpighiales, Euphorbiaceae. The record is from RefSeq and is a predicted model, not a curated record.